CUGCAAAGGCCAGGCAGAGAGCAAAAGAUCGUUUUGUAGUACUGGAAGACAAACAAGAGAUAAGACAGAUGGUGUGAAAGGGGAGGCUGGAGACCAGAGGAAGAAUCCACAGAUAACAGACUGAACGCAUCUGGGGAUUUGCUGUGGAAUGUAUGACUUCAUUUAUCAGCGGAAGGACUGGCUUGUGUCGCCAGCCUCUGGGUCUGCCUACUUGGGAAGGGGGUGGUGUGCUGUACACAGCAGCACCGCAAAUCACAGGGCUUUUUGAUAUGUUGCAGUUCUAAGUUUAAUAACUGGCAACAAUAGUCUCUAUGUCAGUUCCUCACUAAGGAAGUUUCUCUGGACUCUCAAAGAGUGUUCCUCAAGCCAGGUACUGCACUGUCACGGACCAGCUCAGGUACAAGCUACUCCCAAAGAAGAAUGCCUCCUGGAUGUCACUUCCUGACUGUCUCUCUAAUCAGAAGCCUUCUCUUCACACCUUGGCCUGGGCUUGGUCAAUUUCAGCUACUGUGAUCAAAAAGGGCUUCUGACUGGCCUGCUAUCCUCAGAGCUAAGUCUCUGCAAUCAGUGAUCCUCAGAAGUGAGCCAAUGCACCUUGGGAGGGAGGGAGGAGAGAAGUCAGGAAGCAUUCAGUGAGUAUUCUAGAAGAUUCGUAUGAACCUGUGCUUGUUUGUUUGUUUAAACACACUCAAGUGCACACACACUUGUAUAUAAGGACAGAGUGUGUUUAUAGGCAUACCUGUGUGUUGAUUAGGAUAUAUAGAGGCAUUAAGUCCCAUCAUCUAUCUGUUCACCUAUCUCUCCUAUUACUCUAAUGCACCAAAUGACUUUAGAUGCUUCUCCUUGUCAUUCUGGAUAUCCAUCUAUAAAAAGACAUCAUAGAAUUUCUUAAAGGUCCCUCCUAAGUGUCACCUUUUCAGAACUUUUGCCUAACUGAGAUUACUUAUUUGUCAGAGGAGAAAAUGUUGACCCUUAACUAUAUUGUCAGCGGCCUGAAACUAUAAUCAAUGUUUCUUCAUUCAUUCAUUCUCCCUUCAGUCAUUAUUUAUUUACACGUUAGGCACUGGGUGAGAUAUUAAAGUUCAAAUGAUCAAAGUGGUUUCUGCCCUAAGGGGUUCCCAGUUUAUUGGAAGAUACAGGCAAGUAGAUGAGCAAACUUCAACACAACAGGAUAGUUUAUAUAGCACAGGGAUGCUCAGGAUACUUAAAACUCCCCCUCAAAAAAAAAAAAAAAACAGACCUAGAACAUACUUUCUUAUGUAUGGAAAAUGAAAUAAGAAAGACAAAGAUUGAUUGAUGGAUUUUGGAAGUUUGUUUGUUUGUUUAAGAAAAUAAGUUGUAGCAGCAUGUAGUUUAAACCAAACAACUAAAUGUGCUUUGAUCCUGAUUUUUUAAUUUGUUCCUCUUAGUUCUACAUGACAGUAGAAUAUAUUUUGACAUACUUAUACAAAGAUAGAGUAUGUCUUAUUCUAACUAGGAUCCCAGUCUUGUACAUGAUGUAGAGAUUCACCAAGGCAUGUUCAUAUAUGUAUAUAGGAGAGUUAUAUCAAAAUCAGUGAAAACUGUCUUCUUAGUCCUGUCCUUUUGAAUUUUUUUUUAAAUUUUGGCUGAGUGGGCACCAUCUCAGCUAGACCACCUGGAAAGAUGGGACAGAGGGAAACAGUUCUAGUCAAACUUGUGAAAGUGGCUAAGCAGCUGUGCUUUGAGUGUUCUGAGCCCCCUGUCCAAUGGUGCAGAUUUGGUAAGAAACCCUAUUUAAAGCAUACCACGAGAUACUAUAAAGCUCAAAGGGGGAAAGUGUCAGAUGUGCUACUCUGCCAUCCAUUCCCCAUAGAGUGGACAGGUAAGGCCCAUUUCUAAAGGAUUCUAUUGGACAAGCCACUAAAGCAACAUAGAGCCCAGCCCUAAACCAUCCUGUCAUCUGCUACUUCUGGCCUCAGAUGUCCCUGCUCCCAUCCACAAGGAGUAAGAGGAUAGGAAGGCAGGUGCUCUCUGACACUAAAUUGAAGAUACCAGUCAAUUCCUGAUGGAGCCCCUAACCUGCUACGGUUUGGUGUGAAGGGACAGUUAAAGGCAGAUAGAAUCAGAGUCAUAUUCAGAACACAGAGCUGAGCUCCAAGCUCAGUUUCAUGAUGCUUAAAUGUUGACUGCAAUAUGCCACUCUCACCAACCCAUUGCAAAGAUGAAAUAGUGAUGUAUAUAAAACCCAUAUUACACACUGCAAAGUGUGUGAAAGUAAGUGAAAGUAAGCAAUAGCCAACUGUCCUUCCAGCAGAAUGAUGUGUUCCCCUGUGCGAUUUAAGUGCUCCUGAGGAUGUUCUUUUGGACUCACCCUUGUUGGAUCCUGCAGUCCUGGUCUCAUUCUCAUCUGACUUAUCUGGUCCAGCUGAAGCAGGAGACAGCUCAGUCCUCCCAUCUUAGUUGCUCCUCCCCUCCAAGUGGGAGCAGCUAAGCCAGGAGGAAUCCUGAUCCCAGGGGAGCUCUGAAGGAGCUGAGUCAGUGCCCACACAGCUACCAGACAGGAAAUGCAUCAGACAGGCUUUCUCUUCCCAAGGGAACCUGGCUCACCAGCAGCACUGAGUGGAAGGGUCCACACCCAGCUGAGGAUAAGACAAUUGGCUGUCCCGGGCUUCCUUGCUGCUUCGCUGUGAGUUUCAAACAAUCGCCACUUCUUCUGAAGGUACAACUGAGAGCCUUUGGUUCUUAUCAUCAUCGUGAGCACAAAGCCUGAGAUCCCGGUAACAACACAGAGACAGAAGUGAGCAAUGAAGCAACAUGAUCCGGUUGGGAGAAGCACAUUCUCUGAGCAUGAAAGAAAAAAAAAAAACACUAGUCAACAAUCCCUUUAAAUCUCAGCGUCCCUGAAAAUCACGAAAAUUAAUGGCAGAUAUGAUUUGGUUCUGAAAUUGGCAAGUAAGAGUGAGAGAAUACAUGAAUAAGGGACAUGGUACCCAGUGCUGGUGAGAGUGUGAAUGAACAGACACUCGCAUAUACUACCUAGGAGCAAAAAGGACAUGACUUAACCAGUAAUGAUACUAUGGUUUAGAUGUGAGGUGUCCCCCAAAAGCUCAUGUGUGAGACAAUGCAGGAGAGUUCAGAGGUGAAAUGAUUGGAUUAUGAAAGCAUUACCCUAAUCAUUGCAUCAAUCCAAUUGAAUGAAUUAACUGGGUGGUAAUUAUACGUAGGUAGGAUGUAGCUGAAGGAUGUAGGUCUUUGAGGGUGUGCUUUUGGGGUGAUUAUUUCGUCUCUGGUGAGUGAGCAUUCUCUCUCUGCCUCCUGGUGCUGUGUUCUGAGCUGUUUUCCUCUGCCGUGCCCUUAUACCAGGAUGUUCUUCUGCACCUCUGGCCCAGAGCAAUAAUCUGCCAUCUGUGGAUGGAGACCUCUGAAACUGUGAGCACCAAAUACACAUUUUCUCCUCUUAAAUUACUUUUGUUGGGUCUUUUGAGCACAACAGUGAAAAAAGAUGACUAAAACAACUAACAUUUUGUAAAAACUUAAAAAUAUAUUAAUAUGUAUUAUUAAGCAGAAAAUCAGACUAUAAAACAUGUACAAUCUGUCCUAUGGAGAGCAAAUAUAUAUAUUUGUAUAUCUGCAUAAUAAAAUUAUCUAAUUAUAUAACAAAAAUGUACCUCAUACUUCAUUCAGGAUGAUGUAAAGCCAUAGGUGAUUUUUAAUGCUUUUUAAUAUUAGAAAUAGAGGUAUUACACAACAGAAACAAAACAUAACUCUUAAAAAAGAAGAAAGCUCAUUUUAAUAGUUGAUCUAAUGGAAAAGGAGAAUAAAACAGUGGUUACUACAGGGUGAGGGGAGAGGGGAAGAGAGGGAUGGGGGAAGACUUAUGAAUGGGUACUAAGUUACAAUAAAAUAAGAACAAGAAAUUCUGUUGUGUUAUUGCACAGUAGGGUGACUAGAGAUAACAAUAAUAUGCUGUAUAUUUCAUAAAGAUAGAAGAAAGAAUUUUGAAUGUUUUCAUCAUAAAUGAUAAAUGUUUUAUGAGAGAGAUACAUUUAACCUGUUUAGAACAUUAUAUAAUGUAUACGUGUAUUGACACUUCACAUGGUAUCACAUUUAUAUGUCUAAAGUUUUAGUUUGUAUGUAUUCUGAAAAUUUUAAAAAAGAACAUUUUGUUAAGAAAAGAGGUAACUGAAAAUAAACAUUUGUUUACCUGCUACAACAGGCCAGAGAUUAUGCUAAAGAAUUUGCAUGCAUCAUCUUAGUUGAGCCUGACAGCCUCUGUGAGGGCAGGUAUGAUUAAAUAUUAUUAUUAUUAUUAUUUGUAUGUAACCCAGACAAUUUUAUUAUCCCUUCCCACACAUUUAAAAAAUUAAGAAUUAAAAAAUCUACCAACCAACUAAAAAGAAUUCAAGUGAUUUAUUGGAGUUUCUUAUUAAUGUGGAAAAUAAAAAUACAGAUGGUGAUGAGGAAAACAUAUUCCUAAAACUUUAUAGAUAGCAUAAUCUUAAUUGUGUAAAAUACCCAUAUGAACUCAUACAGAAGAGAUCAAAGAAUUAAAAAUUCCACCAAAAAAUUUAUAGGUGUCUAUUUCAGCUGUGAGUUGGAGUGUUUCAUUCCUGUUCUUUUGAAACACCAAAAUUGACGCUCUAAUAAGAUAUUACAAAUUUAUAUUAUAUAUUAUUAUUUUAUAAUAUAAUUUUAUAAACUUAUAAUAAACUAUAGUUUUAAAUUUAAGAGUGUAAAUAUACAAGUAUAUAAAUAAACACAAAAGUAAAUAUUUGCUCUUAUUCUAUUUUACUGGGACCUAAGUUAGUCUUGUUUUGGGGUCUAUUUUUGUUCAGGGAGAAGGAAAGGAGGGGGGGUCAUAUUCUAUAUACCUGAGAUUCUAGAAGAAACUUAUUGAUAUUUCAAAUGCAUUUUUGAUAUAAGCCUGUCAAUCUUGGCUGCACAUUAGAAUCACUUGGGUGCUUUUAGAAGGUAUUAAAGGCUGGGUUUCAUCUCCAAGAAAUUCCUAUUUUAUUGGUUGAGGCUUGCAUCUACCGCAGUCAUCAGGAUUUUGUUUCACCUCUCCUAGUUGAUACUACUAUGUAGCCAGGGCUGAAAAUACUUAGGUUAUAGCAUUUAAAUGCCAAAGCCUGUCUCCAGAAACCAAAGCCAACAUCUCUGAGAGUAGGUGCUAUCAAUAAAUGCCUCCCCUGGAGUACACCCCAUGCAAAUACAUUCCAGGCCUGGAGCUAAUCCUACUUCCAAAUGUAGCAAUAUUCUUUCUUUGUCUCCACUCCCUCCCCUAUUUUCCUUUAUACAUUUCAAACCAUGCUCCAAAGAACAUCUGGGGCUUUUUGAAUUUUAAUCCAUUGACUAUCUUCCUUGAUAUUAAUUUUUUUGAUUAGAGCUUCAAAGGAUUGAAUAUUUUUAUGACUCUUGAUGGUUCCUAUAUUACUUUCCAAAAGGCUCCUACUGCUUUUCAUUAUCCCUGAUACGUAACAAUUUACUUCAUUAAAUUAUUCCAUUUUUCUGACUUUGGUGACUAUAGCAGGUAUAAAUAUUCUAUCUACUUCUUCAUUUAUGAUCGCUACCUAUUCUCCCUUACUUGGAAAAAUUACUUUACAAAUGUAUCUAUUAUCAUCUGCAAUAAUAUUAUUAUGAAUACAUAUAAAUCCUAUAAAUAACUUAGACAUGAUCACUUUAAUGAAAACUUUAAGCAUUUUUCCUGUCUGCUUUUUUUAUUGUUUUUGUUUCUCUUUACUAUGAAGAUAGAUUUCAUGUAAUGAAAGAUAAAACGGUUGAAUUUAAAAAUUUAUCACUUCAAAACUUGUAAGUAUUUUUUCUUCCAAUGAUCUCAUAAAGUGUUAAUUCUAUUUUGAUAUGUGAGUGUGUAUAUAAGUUUUUUAUCCAACAAGGAUUUAUACCAGUUUGUAGAUGCAAAGGAGCUACUGAAAUUUUCACUCUUCAAAGAUUAGCUAAUUUUGCAAAAACUGUUUAUACACUGGCCCCUUCCCUUCAAGUCACAUGAGCAAGUGCACAUACAGGUUUUCCCUUCUGUCUCAUUGAUCCACCUGUCUAGUUUUGUGCAAGUAACAUGCUGAGUUAAAUCCUGCUGCCACAUAAUAUCGUUUUAUAUCCAAAAGAGCUGGCAUUCCCUAAUUCUUUAAGAUAUUAUUUGACAUAUGCUCAAAUAUAUUUUAUAAAAUUCUAAUUUAUUGCAUGAUAUUUCCUUUUGAUCUUUUGCUCAGGAUUAAAUAAAAUGUGUAAAUUAAUUUGUAAACCAAAAAUAUUUUAAUCAUAUUUUUGGAUGCAUUGAAAUUUCCUAAUACUCACAGCCAUCUCUUACGGAUCAAAGCAAAGGACAAUGACCCCAUUUCUCUCUUCUCAGGACCUAAUUCUUUUACUUUCCUUUUAGCAAUAAGUUUCUUGCCAAUCACAGGUCCAGGUUUGAGAAUUAUGAGAAGAUCCUAAGAUUUUUAUUUCUACUUCCUGACAGUGGCACUAAGUACCCAGAAAAAUAGCAAAUCAAUGUCCAGCAUUGAAUUCAGACUUCACCUUCAAACAAAGCAAGAAGCGCCAUGCUGAAUUUGGGUGCACAGUCUGGCCUUGUGAACAAGAAAAGGACCAAGGUGAUUAUUUAGGGCUGUCAUGUUGGGCAUCCAGACUUUAACCCUGUUCAGUAAAAAAAUAUUGCUUUUAAAUGUAUCAUAUCACCACUGUAAGCAUGCACACUUAUUUAAAAUUUCUCUUCCCUCAGCCAUUUCAAGUGGAUAUUGUUGAGCUUGAUAUGUGCAUAAAUUUUACCCAGAACUCUAGCCUCAGUGCUGCUUAUAUAAGAGAUAAUCGGUUCAAGAAGAGAAUUAACUUCAACUGAACUCCUAGUGCAGGGGAGGUACCUUGUCACACUCAACCCCUGGGCACAUUCUGUGAGGGAGGGAUGUUUCUAAAUCCCCCUUUAAAAUCCCCAUAUUUUAAAUGAUGAAAUUAUAUUUCAGACUUUGGGGAUUGAAGUUGGCCUUAUAGGACACUCAAGUCACCGCCUUGACUAUUGGCACCUUUUGUAUCUUGAUAAUGUUCCAGAGAGAUCUGUCAGAACACACGUCUGAACCCCUUUGAAGAUGCAAAGCUCAGGUCUCUUCUUUCAACUCUUCUUUCAACUGCGUCUGGGUUUAUUAUCAGAUGCCUCUUGUCUGACCAGUUAAAACAAGAUAAACAAAACAGAAUUCCUUUAGAUCCAACUUCCUUACAAUUUAUGACUUUAGGGUAUUACUUGAGUACUCGGAAGUCAAAGAGAAAAGGGCUUAUCUCUUUACUCAACUAGUUCCAAGAAUUUGGAGGGACUAUCACUCCCACUCAGUGACAAGUAACACAGAGAAAUUGGCAUCCUCAUAGUUAGGAACCCAAAGUAUGGUUGUUUUUUUCAAGGAACCACAUUCUUCAUAACUGGGGAUAUCAAGAAAAUCUUGUUUUUCUCUCAACUGUCAAACUCUUGCAGAAAUAUCCCUGGACCCUCAAUCCAAAGGAAGCUGUACCCUCAACAUCCAUUUAUAAUAACAGUGUCACCUUUUCUAUUUCUGGGAAAGUGGAGCGAAGCCAGGAUUUUUAAAUCCUCAUUCAUUGAUCUCCUGUACAACCUCUCAGCUUAUACUGUUUAAUAUCUUGUUUGAUUGACCUUUGAGUUUCUGAAAGAAUGGAUAGGUAACUUGUCCCUUAGCAGGUUUUCCUGAAAUCUCAUUUCUCUUGGCUUUGCUUGAGAGAAGAGUGAGACACCAGGCCAGGCAAGGUUAUGCUCUCUAAUGAGGACCUGGAGUAACAGGAUGGGGAAGGGGAUUUGAUGUCAGGAACCAUCAACAUCCAAUCAGGACAAAAUUAUUUUCUGAUUCCAGCUGACCAUGCACUUUUCUUUGCAGCUGCAACUUCAUUAAAUGGAGCACUGAGUCUCCCACAAGAAAAGGUCAACAUUUCCAUUUGGGCAUUCAAACAUCUCAAGACGGGUUUGAGGCCUCGGUGUUCUAUUGAUUCAACCAUCCCCACGCUGAGCACAGAACUUUGCACAGAAUAGAUGGGCGAUGUCAAUCAAAGCUCACCGCUGGGGUUAUUUAUUUUCAGCUUGACUCACAGGGCUAUCAAAUAUUGAAGUUGAAGGGGAAAAAAGGUAAUUCUACUUUAGUACAUGUGUGCAAAUAAAGCUUUCACAAUUGAUGCAUUCCUGAAACUGAAAUUCAUGAAGAACACUUUGAAUAAGAAAGUGUCUUUCUGCCUUCAUUUGGCCUGGGUUUACUAAAUACUCAUUGACCAUAAAACACAAAAAUAGGGGUCUUCAGAGGAGACACUGACUCUAAAACAAACUAUUGUAAUUAAGUGCCAAGUGACAUGGAAAUAUAAAGCACUGAUGAUCAAGAAAUAGGAGGAAUUUUCUUUGGAGUACAAAAGAAAUUGGUUGCUUUAACACAUGGAGAAAAUUAUGAUAUUUUCCUGAGAAACUGUAUACGCGGGUCAAAAGUUUGCUAAAAUUAUAAUAUUAAUGAUAGCAAAAUUGAAAAUAAUUUUUUUAUUUCUUUGAAUAUUUUAUGGCAUUAGUUGCAUCUUGAUAAUGUUUUUUAUUUAAAAAGUCUAGUUUUGUAUUAUACAUUAAAGCUUCUCUGCUCAACAAUACAAGCUAUGGUAUAGAUGUUGUUUAUUAAUAUUUUAUGAAUGCUAUAUUAUUGCAAUUUUGUUUUCCCUCAAGUUUCCUCCUUUUCAUCUCCACCAGGUGCACUUUGCCCCUUGAAUGGAUCAUAUCCUUUUCCCACAUACUCACUUAAAACAUGUUGGUCAUGCUGGGCAAGGUGGUGCACACCUGUAAUCCCAGCUGCUCGGGAGGCUGGGGCAAGAGGACUAUAAGUUCAAAGCCAGCCUCAGCAACUUAGGGAGGCCCUAAGCAACUUAGUAAGAACCUGUCUCAAAAUAAAAAAUAAAAAGGGCUGAAGAUGUGGCUUAGCUGUUAAGU
Molecule: long non-coding RNA, 8929 nt
Filed under: Marmota monax (woodchuck)
Lineage: Eukaryota; Metazoa; Chordata; Mammalia; Rodentia; Sciuridae
Source: RNAcentral